AGUGAACGCUGGCGGUAGGCCUAACACAUGCAAGUCGAACGGCAGCACAGUAAGAGCUUGCUCUUACGGGUGGCGAGUGGCGGACGGGUGAGGAAUACAUCGGAAUCUACUUUUUCAUGGGGGAUAACGUAGGGAAACUUACGCUAAUACCGCAUACGACCUACGGGUGAAAGCAGGGGAUCUUCGGACCUUGCGCGAUUGGAUGAGCCGAUGUCGGAUUAGCUAGUUGGCGGGGUAAAGGCCCACCAAGGCGACGAUCCGUAGCUGGUCUGAGAGGAUGAUCAGCCACACUGGAACUGAGACACGGUCCAGACUCCUACGGGAGGCAGCAGUGGGGAAUAUUGGACAAUGGGCGCAAGCCUGAUCCAGCCAUACCGCGUGGGUGAAGAAGGCCUUCGGGUUGUAAAGCCCUUUUGUUGGGAAAGAAAAGCAGCAGGUUAAUACCCCGCUGUUCUGACGGUACCCAAAGAAUAAGCACCGGCUAACUUCGUG
This 492-nucleotide ribosomal RNA is filed under the name uncultured bacterium. RNAcentral describes it as "partial 16S ribosomal RNA". It matches the Rfam family "Bacterial small subunit ribosomal RNA", at positions 29 to 507 of the family's 1533-position model. The record is from RNAcentral.